This is a long non-coding RNA of Anopheles stephensi (Asian malaria mosquito), 2302 nucleotides long. RefSeq lists it as uncharacterized. The record is from RefSeq and is a predicted model, not a curated record. NCBI's taxonomy places the organism in Eukaryota, Metazoa, Arthropoda, Insecta, Diptera, Culicidae. The transcript has 3 exons.
GAGAACAAAACGUAAACAUUCAGGUCAUCAUGAACCAAUACCGGGAAGCCUUUGUUUUUUUGCUGCUAGCGAAGGUUCUCGCGUUCUCGAAAAUGCGUGAAAAUAUUCUCUGACAAAACCGUGAAACACCGUCCCUUCCUUACCAUUAGUGUUUGUUCCGUGCGAAACCAUUUGUGUUUGUUUGCUGCCGGUGUAGCGUGCAGUUCGAACGAAGGGUAGAAAUACGACCGAAACGACAGAACGCUUCACUUCCGUAUCAUUCUGUGUCUGGACUAGUGCCUAACAGAUUGUGGCCUGAAUUGGACCGUUUUAAAUUUUGUUGUGUUUUGUUUUCAGAUAUCGCUGCACUGAAGAUAAUUACUGGAUAAAUUACGUCGAUUGAUGCCGACGAUUACGAGGCAAGAAUACCACCAACCAGAAUUUUUACCCGAAAGAUUCAGCGUGGUGCAUUUACGGAAGGUUUGACUAAGCGGCACUUUCAGCUAUGGAAAGCGUACGGUGCACACGAAAAGCGGGAAGGUGUCUCAGAUUGAAGUAACCUUCAUAAGAAACAAGACAAUAUUAUCAUUGCUAAUUACUCUGAUUGAUUCUGCAGAGUACAAAUGCUGAUUAGUUGUUAUCAGCAUGCAAGGAUGUACUAGUCUCAUUAUCGUUUUUCCUUUCCAACAACCAGCACUCCCGGAUGGAUUGUCGAGGAAACCAUUACUUCGAUGGGCAGUAUUUGAAAUCGUAGGAGUGUCUUGAAAAGAUUUAGCCCCUAGCUAUCAGUGCCAUAACGGUACUGACACUUAUUUUCACCUAUUACACAUUACGGGAAAUUUUAUGUAAGCUGGUUGAAGAGUACAUUACUGUUGCUGCGGGGACACAUUAGAAACGAGAUCCUGCGUUGGUUAACCGAUCACGCGAAGGAUGAUCGAUUCCAAAUCUCUCGAGUUUCGUUGUGAGUUUCUGUAGAACAAACAACGUGUUGGUUUGUGAUUCUUAGAAUAUAGUGCUGAUAAAUCGGAUAUUUGUUGGAACAAUUAUGUUUGCUAUUGCAGGGUGAUUUGAACAUUGUCUUGGCAUGUAAUUAUCGUGGACAACACGUAGCUUUGAAGGACAAUACAAACUAUAGUUAUAGAAAGUUAAAGAACCUCCAUCGGCAGCCCAUGAUUUCUAUUAUAAACUGCUUCGAUCACCUAUCCUGCCUUUGUGCAUACUGGCUCUAUGUGACGCGCACGACCUUGCUAACGAUGGAAGGAAAUGGCCGAGAACUGCCUAGAAUGAAUGGAAAUGUUUGAUUAACUAUAACAAACUAAACUAAAUUUUCAAACUUUUCUGGUUUUGUUUCGGUUUCCAGAAGCUACGUCCUCCGAAUAUGAUCUGUUCUGUAAUAACGAUAAGAAUGGUGUAUACAAUAUGUUAAUGGUGAAGGAAAUAUUGCCAGCAAAUAACUUUAACGUUGUUGUCCAGACUUUUUCUAUGCUUUCUUGGAGUUACAUAGCAUAGUCAACAACUUGUCUUAUAUACAAAGACCAUUUCCAUACAAAUUUAAAUUUGUAAGCCUCUACUAAGCCAGGCGGCCGUAGUAUGGCUCUCUGGGAAGGAAGACUACCAAACCGAGAAGGAAGGAAGGAAGACCACCAAACCGAGAAGAAUGGAAGGAAAAUCCCGAAUAGGAUGGAAGGAAGAAGAGAGAAGGAAAGAAAUAUAAAAAAAGGAUUUCCCUCCCCGAACAUUCCUGAACACUAUUCAAAGAAUGGUUGAACCUAACUUAGAAGGUAUGGUUUGAUGACGAUGCAUCUCCCUUCGACGUAGAAUACAAUAUCGCUUCUUCCUCAAGUUCGAGUGAUGAAACCACAUAAAUUCGAUAAGUUUUACUAUGUAAAAAAAAUUCAAAGAAAAUUAAACAAUCAAAGCAAGUCAAAGAGUGUUAAAGAAAGAUAUUGUGUGAGUGUUAAAGUGAAUUUUUAAACGAAUAAUUCAAAUGGUUUGCUUAUUUCAUUUCGACAGUUUUCAGGACCGUGAAUGAAACAUUUCACAAUUAUGGUUUGUUUGUUAUCCACUCCUAGCGCAACUACGGUUUUGCGAAAAAAAGCUGUGAUUUUUGUAUGAAAAUAUGUCAAAAACAGACAGCAUUUUGCAAGAAUCAAGUCAACAAUCACAACGAUCAUUCCAUCUUGGAAAGGCAGAAAAUUAGAGAGACUUCAAUAUGAUGCCCCUCCCACAUAACCAAAAAGCGAUAUCCGACCUUACUACGACCUAUAUACGGAGUCGUAUAUGUAGACUUAUAUGUACACUUACAGCAGUAAUUAACAGACUU